Molecule: ribosomal RNA, 231 nt
Filed under: uncultured bacterium
Lineage: Bacteria
Description: partial 16S ribosomal RNA
Rfam family: Bacterial small subunit ribosomal RNA
Source: RNAcentral
CGGGUGAGUAACGCGUGAGGAACCUGCUCGAAGAGGGGAGAACAGUUGGAAACGACUGCUAAUACCGCAUAAGCCCACGGCUCGGCAUCGAGCAGAGGGAAAAGGAGUGAUCCGCUUUGAGAUGGCCUCGCGUCCGAUUAGCUAGUUGGUGAGGUAACGGCCCACCAAGGCGACGAUCGGUAGCCGGACUGAGAGGUUGAACGGCCACAUUGGGACUGAGACACGGCCCAG